RNAcentral lists this long non-coding RNA (347 nucleotides) under Phoenix dactylifera (date palm). Its description in RNAcentral is "long non-coding RNA (PDAC_LNC002518)". The record is from RNAcentral. Lineage: Eukaryota; Viridiplantae; Streptophyta; Magnoliopsida; Arecales; Arecaceae.
UCAUGAGCUUUAUAAUCUGUCAAAUGAAUGUGUAGAAUUCACUCCUAUGUGGUUAUUUCAUUAAAAAAAAGGGAGAUCUAUAUAAAAUAACCACCAUAUUUAAAGAUUACACAUUACAAAUAUGAUAAAACAAUUUGUGAUUUGGAACAAGCAUCAAAAGCAUGAUAGAAUAAUUAUUUUAUCAUAUACCUAAUAGACCAGAUUGUGUGAUCAUUAUGUGCCCUUGUGCAAGACUUCAAUCUAACUCUAAUGAAUCAUAAUUUAUUGAUAACAAAUGAAUCAUAAUCUGAAUUUUGAUAGAAACAAUUGUUUAAGGCAAUUUGAUCAAAACUUAGCUAGCAUGCCUU